UACCCUUCCCAUUUCGCACCCGUUCUCCAAAUCUACCGAAGCAGAACCCUUCCGCCAGCGCAAAGUCCCAAGACAAAAUUGGUUUCCUCCAAAUCUACCACAGCAAAACCCUCCCGCCGACACCAAGUAGCUCACUCCCUUCAACGCUAGAACGAAAAGGAAGGCAUUUGUACCCUUCGUCGCUUGCUGCACCAAACCUGUACUCAUCUUUGUCACUGAAAGUAAGUUCGAAUAUGUGGAUUUUCGAAGGAUUGACUAUGGCGCUUAAGUUUUGGGGGUUAAAUUUUUGUUUUCUAAUUUUCUCGUCAAUAGCAAUCGUUAGGUCGAAGGGAGGUUUUUUUUCUUCCAUUUUUUCUCCUAAAUCGGGUGAACUUUGAAAUCAGCUUUGGUUUGUAAACUCGAAAUUGGGUGAACUCUGAAAUCAGCAAUCGAUGUAGUCAGUAGCAAUCAACUUCUGUUUGUGCACUUUGAAUGUUGAAAUUUUGAAUUUUCUCGUUAUGGUGUGUGAAUUUUAUAGAUGUCUGGAAUCAGCUUCUUUUUGUGAACUCAAUAAGAUUGCUUUAAUGGAUGUGAGCUCUUAUUCCUGAAUAACUUUUGAUGUGUUGUGGUUUAUUUUCAGCUUAUGAUGGCAUGGAAGAACCAGGGAGUAUGUCAUGGUUAUAGAGAAAAAAGGCAUUUUUUUGCUGACUGUCCGGAGAAACGGCAUUGCCCAUGGUGCAAACAUGCAUUCAUCAAGUGCUUUGAGGUAGAGAAAGAGAGCAAAAACAAGGGUAGAUUAUUCAAUACCUGUACUGCAAAAUGUGGAUAUUGGGAGUGGUGAAAGAUGGCGAGACUAACAGUGAAGCAAGUGUAAUCAGCGUAACUACGACGAAUCAUGUGAGGAGCAAAGGAGUUGAAGAAUUACCUUGCAUGUUUCAAUCUCAAUGUCGACUAUUUGAUCAACGCGAUGUGGAGAUGUCUCUUAACGUGACAAUACACAAAGGAAGAGCAAAUGCGGAUGGAGAGAAGAAAGGGAAGGGCCGUGAAUGAGUUGUAGUUCUGAAUUUAAUGACCUUAUUCAGUUUUGCAUUUCCGGCAUUAGUAGUUUCAUCACUAUUUAGUUUUUAAGUAAUGUUGUUUUGUAAUUGUGUCGUUGUAGGGGGUUACUCGAUGUGAAUUGUCUAGAUGGUAUUGUCGUUUGUAGUUAUGCGAUGUGGAUGGGAUGGAGUUGCCAUUCAAGGAAUGUGUAGUAUCAACUUGGACUUUGAUCACAUUCCAGCAUCUCACAAUGUUUAAGCAUUGUCUCUUCAUUAUGUAAUUUCUUUCCAUUUCAAUGAAGUGAUUGCAACAGAUUUUUAGUUGAAUGUUUAAGCAUUUUGUGGCUUGAAUUGUACUAGAGCAAAAAUUCA
Molecule: long non-coding RNA, 1388 nt
Filed under: Olea europaea subsp. europaea
Lineage: Eukaryota; Viridiplantae; Streptophyta; Magnoliopsida; Lamiales; Oleaceae
Source: RNAcentral